This 2226-nucleotide long non-coding RNA is filed under the name Homo sapiens (human). RNAcentral's name for it is "HSALNT0029341". Lineage: Eukaryota; Metazoa; Chordata; Mammalia; Primates; Hominidae. The record is from RNAcentral.
GAAUAUAGCAGCUUGUAGAGUUAUACCACUUGCCCAAAUCUCUUCCAUGAGCCUCUUUAAGUGUAACAGAAUGCCUGGGAGCACGUAAAUGCUCCUACUUAGAUGCCUACUUAGCCUCUAAUUUUCAUGGGGCCCAUGAAUCCCAUGAAAAAGAACUUUGAACCCUGUCCACAAUUAGAGUUCAGGUAUACGCAGACAUGUUUAAAGACAAGGGACACCCAAAGGAAAGAUUGCACAGAGAGAAAGUGAGCAUCCGAGAGAAAAUCACCACAAGUGAGGCAGAGGGAGGCCGGUCUCAGCAGAGUUUUGGAGGUCGUGAGAAGAAGAGAUAAAGGCAAACCAGUGCUCAGAGGAACCCAACCAUCUCUGAAUUGAGACCAGAGAGCUGUCUCUAUGGAUAGUCCUUAGAGAAGGCAUUUCGGAACACAGUAAACAGCAGCCUGGUGACUCCGAUUACAGGGCCAGUUGCCUUUGUUACAAUAAAAGCAAGUCAUCUACACAGACAAACUGCGGCCUGGACCAGCUGGUGAAACAUAAUUCUGAAUCCUGCCCACAGCCUUCGGUGGUUUUGGAUGAAAGGCCAGCGCCUUGGGAGCCCUGCGUUUGAUUUCAAGUUUUAAGGCCGGCACUGGUGGAGCAAUGAAUGGUGAAAGCUCUCCCCUUAAAGGAGCACAGUUGCCUUUAGGUGACUGCUAACUCAGGCUUUUGCUGAGGACAGUGUUUACUUUGUGAGCUUAAUGACAGGGCUGGCUUUCUGGGAGUGUUGCAAUGAAACAGACUCAGACACAGGCCAUCAUGGGCCUCCUCCCUAGCAAGGCCGCCACGGCUGGCAUCUCAAGAGCAGUCCGUUGAACUUGGGAUUUGGGUGUGAGACACAGUUUCAUCAGAAGAAUUUAAACCAAAGUCUACAUUUGCCCUCUAGAUAAAUGUGUGUGUUCAGCAGCAACCACAACUCCUUGCCUCAUUCUCUUGGUUGAUUAUGUGACUGUGAGAAGAAAAGCAAAAGCAAAAAUGCGAAGCGUAGCUAUGAUGCUAUUUUAGUUAAAAAUAUUCUGGUAGAAUUUGAAGGUACCAUAGAGAUUACCUACAGAUGGAAAAAACUGAAGGUCAGAGAUGGGAAGUGCCUUGUCCAAGAUCACACAGCAUAUAAGGGAAGAAGUAGGACUGAAAUCCAGAUUUCUCUGUUCCUGUUCCUGUUUUCUCUUUUCUUUUUUUGAGACAAGGUCUCACUCUGUCGCCCAGGUUGGAGUGCAAUGGUGCAAUCUCGGCUCACUGCAACCUCCAACUCUUAGGCUCCAGAGACCAUCCUACCUCAGCCUCUUUAGUAGCUGAGAUCCUGGCUAUUUUUUAUUUUUGGUAGAGAUAGGGUUUCACCAUGUGGCCCAGUCUUGUCUUGAACUCCUGAGCUCAAACGAUCCACCCACCUUGGCCUCCCAAAGCGUUGGGAAUAUAGUGUGAGCCACUGCACCCGGCCAGGUCCUGGUCUCUUUUCAUUAUUAUACAGCUGUCAACAAUCAUGGAGAGUUCUUUUUCCCUUUUGUUGGGUUCUUGUUCCUUUGCAAAGUCUAUAAAGAACCAAGAUGAUCCAGGAAAUUCAGGGAGUCCUCAUUCACUUCCAAAGGCAGUUUGUUGUCUGUUGGCUGUGCUGUAUGAAUUGCUGUUUCAAUUAAGUUUUUCAACAUUUCCUAUGAAGGCAUGCAAAUGACCACUGAUUCUAAAUAAACCCAUUUAGGUAUUCAGGGUUUAUAAAUAUAGAGAAUCUUGCUUUCUGCCUCAUUCUUUCUGUCUUCCCUGGCAUUCUUCCCUCUAUCCACCUCCACUGAGAUGCAUUUUUAUAAAAGACUUUACUUAGGACACAUAUUUUGAUGAAAUCCUUAACAUUUUUCUUCUUUCCCAAUUUUUAUAUUAUCAUUGUUAUAAUGCAUUACAAUAAUUUAUAUUUUGCAAAUUUGUUUUAAUAUGUUAAUUUUGCAAUGUAACUAUCUCAAGGCUUCUAAUGAGGAGAGGAGGAGGCCACAGAUAGGACUAGAUAGAGAGACUUUUAAAGAUGUGGGUAGGGUGUUUGUGAAUGUCUGGGCAGUGGAAUAUUUAUGCAGCACUGUGGGUGUUUUGAACCCUCUGGAAACUAACAAGCAAGCUCCACACAUAAACUUGGUGGAAGUCCUCCAAACUUUGGACAACACAGAGGCCUUUCAGAAGUCUGAACCAAGUCCAAGUCAAAUUACA